GAUGAACGCUAGCGGAAGGCUUAAUACAUGCAAGUCGAGCGGUAGAUAUGACUUCGGUUAUAUUGAGAGCGGCGCACGGGUGAGUAACGCGUACAUGACCUACCCAUAAGAACGGAAUAGCCCUGGGAAACUGGGAUUAAUACCGUAUGUGAUUAAAGAUGUUAGAGGUUUUUAAUUAAAGCUGAGGCGCUUAUGGAUGGAUGUGCGUCUGAUUAGCUAGUUGGUAAGGUAACGGCUUACCAAGGCGACGAUCAGUAGGGGGCGUGAGAGCGUGAUCCCCCACACGGGUACUGAGACACGGACCCGACUCCUACGGGAGGCAGCAGUAAGGAAUAUUGGACAAUGCCCGCAAGGGUGAUCCAGCCAUUCCGCGUGCAGGAUGACUGCCCUAUGGGUUGUAAACUGCUUUUAGAUGGGAAGAAAGUGUGAUACUUGUAUCAUUUUGACGGUACCAUCAGAAUAAGCACCGGCUAACUCCG
RNAcentral lists this ribosomal RNA (479 nucleotides) under uncultured Saprospiraceae bacterium. RNAcentral's name for it is "bacterial SSU rRNA". It matches the Rfam family "Bacterial small subunit ribosomal RNA", at positions 28 to 505 of the family's 1533-position model. Lineage: Bacteria; Pseudomonadati; Bacteroidota; Saprospiria; Saprospirales; Saprospiraceae. The record is from RNAcentral.